AAUGGCUCAUUAAAUCAGUUAUCGUUUAUUUGAUAGUACCUUACUACAUGGAUAACCGUGGUAAUUCUAGAGCUAAUACAUGCUAAAAACCCCGACUUCGGAAGGGGUGUAUUUAUUAGAUAAAAAACCAAUGCCCUUCGGGGCUCCUUGGUGAAUCAUAAUAACUUAACGAAUCGCAUGGCCUUGCGCCGGCGAUGGUUCAUUCAAAUUUCUGCCCUAUCAACUUUCGAUGGUAGGAUAGUGGCCUACCAUGGUAUCAACGGGUAACGGGGAAUUAGGGUUCUAUUCCGGAGAGGGAGCCUGAGAAACGGCUACCACAUCCAAGGAAGGCAGCAGGCGCGCAAAUUACCCAAUCCCGACUCGGGGAGGUAGUGACAAUAAAUACUGAUACAGGGCUCUUUUGGGUCUUGUAAUUGGAAUGAGUACAAUUUAAAUCCCUUAACG
This 444-nucleotide ribosomal RNA is filed under the name Hortaea werneckii. Its description in RNAcentral is "SSU rRNA". It matches the Rfam family "Eukaryotic small subunit ribosomal RNA", at positions 92 to 539 of the family's 1831-position model. The record is from RNAcentral. Lineage: Eukaryota; Fungi; Ascomycota; Dothideomycetes; Mycosphaerellales; Teratosphaeriaceae.